CAGGGAGCCCUUGGGGACCAAGACAUCUUCAUUUAUGUUGAGGUCCCCAUAUAUGGCCUUGAAGACAGGUUUCAGGACCCAAAUCUGGAAGACACCAUCAUGGAUGUUGACCAGGAAGCCCUUGUUAUCCAAUAUAUCCCUAUGGAUGUUGAGGU
Tachysurus fulvidraco (yellow catfish) is the source of this 155-nucleotide long non-coding RNA. RefSeq lists it as uncharacterized. The transcript is spliced from 3 exons. The record is from RefSeq and is a predicted model, not a curated record. NCBI's taxonomy places the organism in Eukaryota, Metazoa, Chordata, Actinopteri, Siluriformes, Bagridae.